This is a long non-coding RNA of Acinonyx jubatus (cheetah), 1185 nucleotides long. RefSeq lists it as uncharacterized. The record is from RefSeq and is a predicted model, not a curated record. Lineage: Eukaryota; Metazoa; Chordata; Mammalia; Carnivora; Felidae. The transcript has 3 exons.
AGGGAUAAACAAAGGGACUAGGAUCUUUCACUGUUUCUUAUCAAGUGAAAGCAUCUUAAAUUCUAAUUUCAGUUUUCACAAUACUUUCCCGUUUUCUGAGUAGCCUGCGGAUUGCUCUUCUUUCCAUACAUUUUCACUCCUAUGAUUUUAGGUUUUUCUUUCCCAUUUGAUAAUAGUCUAUCCUUAUUGUUUGUUUCAUCUCCUCCUCCUCAUUAUCUUAACCACUUCUUAUCAAGGCCUCCUUCUAGACAGGGUUUUAGGCCCUAUCAGUGUGGCUUGUACUAGACCUACAACGACCUACAAGUUUUACAGAUAGGAAACUGAAGCUAAGGUAGAGGGUUAGGCCAGAUAAUGGCUCCCAAAGAUGUCCACACUAAUCUCCAGAACCUGGAAAUAUGUUUUACCUUAUAUAGCCAAAAGGACUUUGCAGCCGUAAGUACGAUUUAGACCUGAGAGGGGGGAGAUUGUUUGGGGGUUAUCUGGGUGGGUCCAAUCUAAUCACAUGACUCCUUAGAUGCAAAACCUUUCCUGCCUGGGUUACAGAGAAAUUUGACAAAGAGGAAAGUCACCGGCUUCAGAGUCAAAGAAGAGACUACAAGGAAAAAAUGCGAUCCCAGGAGCUGGGAAAGAGAAGGAAACAGAGUCUUCUCUAGGGCUUCCAGUAUGAACACAGCCUUGUCAACAAUUUAAUUUUAGCCUGGGUCUCGCCAGAGACCAGAGCUGCAAGCCUUCAUCUUUUGUCUUAAAUAUCUCGCACGAUGUACACUUCUUGAGAGAAUCCAGUUUAUAAAUGAUAGUAGAAAAAUACACAUAGUUGACAUGACCCUGCUGUAGUACUCCAUCAACAAUGAGUUUGAAAAGCAAGAGAUGAAAAUUGAAAAACGCAAAACAAAGAUUUGUAAAUAUUGACGAAACAAAGGACACUUUAGGAAGGAUUCCAAGAACUCCCUGUACUUUCAAUACCUUCACUUUGGAGUUACCUUCAAAGAGGCUAAGAUUGUAGCUGAAAACGGUCCAGCUUCUCCCACACCUUGAGAGACUGCGUUGCUGUAAGGUAACCUUCAGGACGGAAAACAGCAGCGGGGGUGUGGGAUGGGGAAAGUGGUUGGAUGGCUGAAAGUAUUGUAACACAGUACUGAACUUCUUGUUUUGCACAAAUGUUUAUGGAAUAAAGUGUCUUCUUUU